This 253-nucleotide ribosomal RNA is filed under the name uncultured bacterium. RNAcentral's name for it is "partial 16S ribosomal RNA". It matches the Rfam family "Bacterial small subunit ribosomal RNA", at positions 524 to 776 of the family's 1533-position model. The record is from RNAcentral.
UACGUAGGGUGCGAGCGUUAAUCGGAAUUACUGGGCGUAAAGGGUGCGCAGGCGGUUCUGCAAGUCAGGUGUGAAAGCCCCGGGCUUAACCUGGGAAUGGCGCUUGAAACUACAGGACUGGAGUAUGGCAGAGGGAGGUGGAAUUCCACGUGUAGCGGUGAAAUGCGUAGAGAUGUGGAGGAACACCGAUGGCGAAGGCAGCCUCCUGGGCCAAUACUGACGCUCAUGCACGAAAGCGUGGGGAGCAAACAGG